GUUGGGCACAGUGGCGCGCGCCUGUAAUCCUAGCUACUCGGGAGGCUGAGGUAGGAGAAUCACUUGAACCCAGGAGGUGUAGGUUGCAGUGAGCCGAGAUUGUGCCACUGCACUCCAGCCUGGGUGACAAAGCGAGACUCUGUCUCAA
RNAcentral lists this non-coding RNA (148 nucleotides) under Homo sapiens (human). The record is from Rfam by way of RNAcentral. Lineage: Eukaryota; Metazoa; Chordata; Mammalia; Primates; Hominidae.